Molecule: long non-coding RNA, 1132 nt
Filed under: Sus scrofa (pig)
Lineage: Eukaryota; Metazoa; Chordata; Mammalia; Artiodactyla; Suidae
Description: lncRNA (ENSSSCG00070010191.1)
Source: RNAcentral
AUGAGGAAGUUUCUCAAACAUAAUGGAACAAUCCUUGAUAAGUGCUGGCACCCUGAGGAUUAUCAGUCUGAUUCUUGGUCUUCCAGCACCCAGCACAGGCUACUCCAUCAGCUGGGAGAUCUGCGACAAUCCCCAGUUUAUUAUUGGAGGAGCUACCCGCACAGACAUCUGCCAAGGAGCCCUGGGUAAGUGACGUCAGCGGCGCAGGCGCGGUGGGGCGGGGCUUGUCUGCAAGGCUGUGCCUGGAAGGCCUCGGGAUGAUCUCGGCUCCUCUCCCUUGCCAAGCGUUUGGCAGUUCCCAUUUCCAGAAGCUUCUUGGAAUGUCUUGUCCCCCGAGGGCCCCGUGCCUCAGCACACAAAACACAUGGAUGUGCAGGGAGGGCUCCUGUGUCCCCUGCGCUGGGCUGGUGAUGUGACACAGACACUUCCACUGGAGGACGGAGGAGCUUCUGGAUCUCAGCCCUCCCGGAGCCAGUGUCACUAGUGCCCCGGGGACCAGUCAGGCUCCCGCCCGAGGGCCAGCUGGGCGGCCUGACCCAGGCUGGUUGAGGCACUGAGACACCAGUUCUCUGCAGCUCAGGGAUGGGAGGGUGACUCAGUGUGAAGGAAAAGGAAACCCUCAGUCACACCAGGGCAUUCUCAGUGUUUGCAAGGCAGAUCACCAUGGUAGCACAACAGUGGACUCGGUGCUCAUUGUCACAGAGGCAGUUGUUACAUUCAUGCAACCAGGUGUCCCCAGAGUAGCUGAAUUGUGACUCUGAAACUUUGCUCUCUGAGGCAGCGCUCUGGUUUUUCAGGAUAUAGUACCUGCUGAGAUUGGAACGUGCAGGGUCGCCAGCUUUGGCCUGAAAGCCCCCCCUCCCCGAGGCUUCUCUGAAGAAGUCGUAACCAAGGGUCCUGGGACUAUUUAUUAUUUGAGAGUCUCUUAGAAUCCACCCUUAUUUUUUUACUCGCAGUCAGUAUGGGCCUGUGAUCACUGGCGCAGAUCAUUUGCUGCAAUAAGCAAAAACUAGUUGUGUGCCCUCGGCCUGGACUUGCUCUCCAGACUAGCCCCUCAGUGACAAACUGAUCAUCUUGAACUGCAUCUCCUGGCCCACCCAGCAGAGAUGCUGUCCUGGGAGUAACUGGUUGA